AGGACGAACGCUGGCGGCGUGCUUAACACAUGCAAGUCGAGCGGAAAGGCCUCUUCGGGGGUACUCGAGCGGCGAACGGGUGAGUAACACGUGAGUAACCUGCCCUGGACUUUGGGAUAACCCUCGGAAACGGGGGCUAAUACCGGAUAUGACGUGCCGCCGCAUGGUGGUGGGUGGAAAGAUUUUUUUGGUCUGGGAUGGGCUCGCGGCCUAUCAGCUUGUUGGUGGGGUGAUGGCCUACCAAGGCGACGACGGGUAGCCGGCCUGAGAGGGCGACCGGCCACGACUGGAACUGAGACACGGUCCAGACACCUACGGGUGGCAGCAGUCGAGAAUUUUUCUCAAUGGGGGCAAACCCGUGAAGGAGCGACGCCGCGUAGAGGAUGAAGGCUUUCGGGUUGUAAACUCCUGUCAUUUGAGAACAAGUGUAGCCAAGUAACUACUGGCUACUUGAUAGUAUCAGAAGAGGAAGAGACGGCUAACUCGUGUGCCAGCAGCCGC
RNAcentral lists this ribosomal RNA (501 nucleotides) under uncultured bacterium. RNAcentral describes it as "SSU rRNA". It matches the Rfam family "Bacterial small subunit ribosomal RNA", at positions 26 to 518 of the family's 1533-position model. The record is from RNAcentral.